This 371-nucleotide ribosomal RNA is filed under the name uncultured organism. Its description in RNAcentral is "partial 16S ribosomal RNA". It matches the Rfam family "Bacterial small subunit ribosomal RNA", at positions 527 to 896 of the family's 1533-position model. The record is from RNAcentral.
GUAGGUGGCAAGCGUUGUCCGGAAUUAUUGGGCGUAAAGCGCGCGCAGGCGGUUCUUUAAGUCUGAUGUGAAAGCCCACGGCUCAACCGUGGAGGGUCAUUGGAAACUGGAGAACUUGAGUACAGAAGAGGAAGGCGGAAUUCCACGUGUAGCGGUGAAAUGCGUAGAGAUGUGGAGGAACACCAGUGGCGAAGGCGGCUUUCUGGUCUGUAACUGACGCUGAGGCGCGAAAGCGUGGGGGAGCAAACAGGAUUAGAUACCCUGGUAGUCCACGCCGUAAACGAUGAGUGCUAAGUGUUAGGGGGUUUCCGCCCCUUAGUGCUGCAGCUAACGCAUUAAGCACUCCGCCUGGGAGUACGGCCGCAAGGCUG